AUUAAAGUUGCUGCGGUUAAAAAGCUCGUAGUUGGAUUACGGAGUGGUGUUUAAAUGUCAUUUUGGUUGGUCUGUCCUUCGGGGCAUUCUGGUCAACUUGGCACUUACUCACUGAUGUCAUUGUCUUUGCCCAAGGUAAUUGCCUUGUGUGCAUGGCAUUGACCUUCUAUUUUAUGGUAAUGAGGUCAUCUUUCGAGGUGACUCUUCAUUCCAUAUAGUUUACUUUGAAAAAAUUAGGGUGUUUAAAGCAGGCGAAAAGGCUUCGGAAUAUAUUAGCAUGGGAUAAUAGAAUACGAUUUAGGUCGUAAUUUGUUGGUUUCUACGGCUUAGGUAAUGAUUGACAGGGAUAGUUGGGGUCGCUCGUAUUGAGUUGUCAGAGGUGAAAUUCUAGGAUUAACUCAAGACGAACUAAUGCGAAAGCAUUCGGCAAGGAUGUUUUCAUUAAUCAAGAACGAAAGUUGGGGGAUCGAAGAUGAUCAGAUACCGUCUUAGUCUCAACUGUAAACUAUGUCAACCGAGGAUCCAGUAGCGUUACAUGGAUGACCUUCUGGGCACUCUGUGAGAAAUCACAAGUAUUUGGAUUUCGGGGGGAGUAUGGUCGCAAGGCUGAAACUUAAAGGGAUUGACGGAAGGGCACCACCAGGAGUGGAAUCUGCGGCUUAAUUUGACCCAACACGGGAAAACUUACCAGGUCCGGACACAGUGAGGAUUGACAGAUUGAGAGCUCUUUCUUGAUUUUGUGGGUGGUGGUGCAUGGCCGUUUUUAGUUGGUGGAGUGAUUUGUCUGGUUAAUUCCGUUAACGAACGAGACCUUAACCUAUUAAAUAGCUGCGCGAACCCAGGUUCUUUAACCAUUCUCUCCUUCGGGGGGGCGUGGUAUCAUUGUUUUUACUUCUCACCUUCGGGUGGGGGGUAGGGCAAUGAUAGGGCCUGAGAUGAGUUGGUGAUUUGGCUUCUUAGAGGGACUACUUGCAUCCUUAGCAAGGGGAGGUUUGAGGCAAAAACAGGUCUGUGAUGCCCUUCGAUGUUCUGGGCUGCACGCGCGUUACACUGGCGCAUGCAAAGAGUUUAAAAUUCCUGUCCCGAUGGGGUUGGGAAAUCUUUUUAAAGUGCGUCGUGAUGGGGAUAGAGCAUUGAAAUUAUUGCUCUUGAACGAGGAAUUCCUAGUAAUUGCAGGUCAUCAACCUGCAAUGAUUACGUCCCUGCCCUUUGUACACACCGCCCGUCGCUCCUACCGAUGGUUGAACCGAUGAGGACUCGGGAUUAUCUUAUUAGAUCGGUCGGUCGAAAGAUCGAUAGACUAUUAGGUAAGAACUUGUUCAAAUCUUUUUAACUAGAGGAAGGAGA
RNAcentral lists this ribosomal RNA (1347 nucleotides) under metagenome. Its description in RNAcentral is "SSU rRNA". It matches the Rfam family "Eukaryotic small subunit ribosomal RNA", at positions 603 to 1786 of the family's 1831-position model. The record is from RNAcentral.